UACGAAGGGAGCGAGCGUUGUUCGGAAUCACUGGGCUUAAAGCGUGCGUAGGCGGAUGUGUAAGUCAGGAGUGAAAUCCCAGGGCUUAACCCUGGAACUGCUCUUGAGAUUGCAGAUCUGGCAUUCGGUAGAGGUUGGUGGAACUCCCAGUGUAGAGGUGAAAGUCGCAGAUAUUGGGAAGAACACCGGUGGCGAAGGCGACCAACUGGACCGAUAUUGACGCUGAGGCACGAAAGCGUGGGUAGCAAACAGG
Molecule: ribosomal RNA, 253 nt
Filed under: uncultured bacterium
Lineage: Bacteria
Description: partial 16S ribosomal RNA
Rfam family: Bacterial small subunit ribosomal RNA
Source: RNAcentral